UGGGGAAUAUUGCACAAUGGAGGAAACUCUGAUGCAGCAACGCCGCGUGAGUGAUGAAGGUCUUCGGAUUGUAAAGCUCUGUCUUCUGGGACGAUAAUGACGGUACCAGAGGAGGAAGCCACGGCUAACUACGUGCCAGCAGCCGCGGUAAUACGUAGGUGGCAAGCGUUGUCCGGAAUUAUUGGGCGUAAAGGGCGUGCAGGCGGCCAGGCAAGUCUGUCUUAAAAGUGCGGGGCUUAACCCCGUGAUGGGAUGGAAACUGUCAGGCUAGAGUGUCGGAGAGGAAAGCGGAAUUCCUAGUGUAGCGGUGAAAUGCGUAGAUAUUAGGAGGAACACCAGUGGCGAAAGCGGCUUUCUGGACGACAACUGACGCUGAGGCGCGAAAGCCAGGGGAGCAAACGGGAUUAGAUACCCCGGUAGUCCUGGCCGUAAACGAUGGGUACUAGGUGUAGGAGGUAUCGACCCCUUCUGUGCCGGAGUUAACGCAAUAAGUAUCCCGCCUGGGGAGUACGGCCGCAAGGCUG
Molecule: ribosomal RNA, 524 nt
Filed under: uncultured bacterium
Lineage: Bacteria
Description: bacterial SSU rRNA
Rfam family: Bacterial small subunit ribosomal RNA
Source: RNAcentral